UAGUCAUAUGCUUGUUUCAAAGAUUAAGCCAUGCAAGUCUAAGUAUAAGCUUUUAUACGGCAAAACUGCGAAUAGCUCAUUACAACAGUUAUAAUUUACACGACGAUCAUUACCAAAUGGAUAUCCAUGGUAAUUCUGGAGCUAAUACAUGCAAAAACACCAAACUUUAGGGAAUGGUGGCAUUCAUUAGCCUUAGAACCAAUCAAGUAGUAAUACUUGUUUCUGGUGAUCAUAAUGACCGAGCGGAUCGCAAAUUGUGCGACAGUUCGUUCAAGUUU
RNAcentral lists this ribosomal RNA (278 nucleotides) under uncultured eukaryote. RNAcentral's name for it is "partial 18S ribosomal RNA". It matches the Rfam family "Eukaryotic small subunit ribosomal RNA", at positions 21 to 306 of the family's 1831-position model. The record is from RNAcentral.